CGUUUAUUUGAAACAGCUUUGUUGUGUAUCUGGUGUCAGAGGCUGCAGAGACGUGUCCCGCAACUAUAUCCAUUAAACCACCGAUGCAGCUGUUCAUGCAUGUGUGAAGUCUUAAACGUUUACAUGUCUCGGCUCUAUGGUAAUAAAUUAAUUACUUGGUGUGUCUUAAUUUGUCUUAAUUUCCUAUGCUUAUCUGGUUGCAUAAUUGAUUUCUGUCGUUGCGUCCACUUCCAAGAUUUAUAGCAUAGGGCCUACCCUGUUAAAAAAAAAAAACCAUGGAUACUGUUUCUUGUAACUACUGACAAAGAUCUACUAGAUCACAGUCAUAUAAACUUUCAUAAUGUAAUAUAAUGCAUUUAUUAAUAAAACCAAGAAUGAUUGUCAUGAGAAAUGACUUCGCCCUAUAAAACGUCACCACUGCAUUAAUAAAAUGCAGUGCAUGUCUCUCCUUGAAGCAAUCGUGUAGGUUAAAAAGAAAUGCAUAAUACAUUUAUUUAGACCUAGGCUAUGUUUAGCCUAUAUUUCGAUCAUUUUACCUCAGUACUGAUAAGGUGCAAAGCCAACAUGACAUUAACAGAAGGCCCGCUGCAGGAGGGCACACCAAACAUGAAAACUCGUACAUUUGUGCAUAGACUAUUUAGAUGUUUUGUAAACACGUUAAAUUAGUCACGUAAUUCAAAUAGCAACAACAUGUCUUUAUAACAUCAUUCUGGGAACAUAUAAACUUAACACCCACAGUGGUGAUGUGGACACAAAGAACACUGGUCGUAUAAUGACAGCUUUACGACUAAAUAAUACAAAAUCUUUUUUCUCUUGUAAUCUACACUCUUAAUAGACUUAGCCUAGACUGCAAAUGUUAAACAUAUCCUACAUUUUAAAGUAAAUCUUUGCGGUCCGUUUCUCUGAUAUAAAUAUUAGAAUUUUCUUUUUUUGAAGGAGAUUAUAAAUUAUCUUCCACAAUAUUUGCAUACGUUUAUUAUUAUUAUUAUUAUUAGCCUAUGUGUAAGCAUUUUUAAGCCAUUUUUAUUUAAUUCGGUAGUUAUGCGGUUACAUUAAUAGCUGUAUAGCCUAAUAUAAAUUCAACAUCUGAUGGAAAAAAAGUGUAGUUAUUUCACUGUAAUGCGGAUAAAUCUAUACAUUUACUUUUCCUGUGAGCUCCACUUAGAAAAUGGCGCCUGGCUGCAAACAUUGCUUUACCAGCCCCAGCCCCAGCCCCAGCCCCCACCUCUGUCCUCUUCCCUAGAGAAGCUAUAAAUCUGUUGUUGUUUAUGAAAAUUUACUACUUUGUCGUACAACUUUAUGAGCUGCAGCUAGCUCCUAUUGGCUACCAGUCGGUCACGUGUUUUAAGGCCACAUGAACGUUAACUUUUUAUGUAUGUGCAUCCCUACCCAAAAUAGAGCUGCAUUCUUCUCCUGACCUUGCCUUGUCUAGCCUUCUUUUACCCCCGCUUUUCCAGAUUUCGUCUAUUGUUAAUUUUUUGUCUUUUACUUUUGAGGUAGGCUACUAUUCUACAUUCGCUGCCAUCGAACUGGGUAUUGCAUUGGCAGUAGGAGAACUGAUCAUAAUGAGAGAACUGAUCAUCUUGUUUGGCACAAGCUUUCCGAAAAGCUGUGAAGUAUUUUUCGUCACCAUCCUCUGUUUCUUGCCUUCGUGGACCAGCAGGCACACUGAACGACAGUUUGACCGGACCGGAGGGGAAAAGGCCCAGAACAGCCUACACACGCUACCAGACACUUGAGCUUGAGAAGGAGUUCCACUUCAACCGGUACCUGACACGUCGCCGACGUAUUGAGAUUGC
RNA transcript from Carassius carassius (crucian carp), 1799 nucleotides. It is a transcript of the gene named homeobox protein Hox-A5a-like, with no coding region annotated. The transcript has 2 exons. The record is from RefSeq and is a predicted model, not a curated record. Lineage: Eukaryota; Metazoa; Chordata; Actinopteri; Cypriniformes; Cyprinidae.